AAUAACUUAGAUCAAACCAAACCACAUCAUCUUAUCCGUGUCGAACCGCCCGGCCCGGUCCGGUCCGUGGAUCACCGGCGCUGCUUAUAAAUGCGGUCCGCUUCCCCCACUGCCACCGACACCUCUCCAUCGCCCUUAACAAGCGGAGGAGUCCGAAAUGGGAGGCACUCCGCUGCUCGGUGCCCGUACGAACCGCCUCGCCGCUUCCCUCUUCGUCCUCUAUCUGAUGGGAACCGGUAUUAAACUCACCAUGAUCUUUUGUUCAUUGCUGUCACUUUUGAUGAUGCUGUAAUCCUCUUAAGUGACAUUGUUUCGAUACUACUGAUGCUUCUCGUACCACCAAUGGGUGAGACAAGCAGUAGAUUAAGUGUUCGCGCCGUCGUGCCUUUCAGAUUCAACAAGACUGAACUUUUAUCCCAUCCUCCUACCUUCCAUCGUACCUUUCAGGUGGGAGGGAACGUCGGCAAGUCGGGCAUUCCAUCUUAAUGUCCAUCCAUCUCUGUAAGCAUCCAGUAUGGAAGCAGUGAUCGCAUGGUGUAACCUGUGGGAGUAGAGCUUAACUGUAAGUCUAUGGCAACAGCAUUUUGGUUUCAGGGGGGGAAAAUGGAACUCUCAAUACCAUGUAAUCAUUCAGACGUUGUGGAAGUUCGAUACCAGUCAUGCAAAUCACACAAUCAACUGCUUGAUUACUGUGGUUCCCGAGCUUUCGGUAGUAGUUAUAUUUCUCCGGUAGGAUCUGUAAAUCACAGGCAGUAAAUAGUUGUACAAGCCAACUUAUGAAGCCUUGUGCAACUCCAGAAAGAACCAUCAACCGAGAAAAAGAACAUUUGAAGUCUUUUCAGUAGAAUUUGAUAAAGACAUACCUGACGGGGAAUAAACCACCGGGAUCCAAAAUAAUUCUGAAGCAGAAGGAUCAGUGCUUGCAAUGUCAUAAACAACAAGAAAGAUACACACCAACUUCGGUCGAUCUGAAUUCGCAGAAAGUUGUUCGGGCAACCAAAUAUGUAUAGUGGAAUUGCAGUACGAGUGAGCGUCAUGCCUAUUAUGUAAUGAGGGUGCAGGGGUUUUCUUGUAUCCCGGACGACAUUAGUGAUUAUCUGAGGGAUCCAAAACGAGUACAUAACUAAAAGAAUAGGACGAAGGAAAUUGUGCAGCUCAUACAUGAAGAGAACUCCUCCCAAAAGAAUGCCAU
This is a long non-coding RNA of Zingiber officinale, 1192 nucleotides long. RefSeq lists it as uncharacterized. NCBI's taxonomy places the organism in Eukaryota, Viridiplantae, Streptophyta, Magnoliopsida, Zingiberales, Zingiberaceae. The transcript is spliced from 4 exons. The record is from RefSeq and is a predicted model, not a curated record.